This is a small nuclear RNA of Mesocricetus auratus (golden hamster), 104 nucleotides long. The record is from Ensembl. NCBI's taxonomy places the organism in Eukaryota, Metazoa, Chordata, Mammalia, Rodentia, Cricetidae.
GUGAUCGCUUUGCCAGUACAUCUACUAAAAUUGAGAUGAUACAGAGACAAACAUGCCCCCUGAGCAAGGAUCACACCUAAAUUCAUGAGGUGUUCCUUUUUUCU